RNAcentral lists this long non-coding RNA (8782 nucleotides) under Eutrema salsugineum. Its description in RNAcentral is "long non-coding RNA (ESAL_LNC001518)". The record is from RNAcentral. Lineage: Eukaryota; Viridiplantae; Streptophyta; Magnoliopsida; Brassicales; Brassicaceae.
AAUUGACUCUCCGAGCCACAAGAGAAUCUCGAACAAUGAAGAGGUCGUCAGGAACUGAGGGAAGAAUGCUCCGAACUGCAAAAACAACACAGAAACAAUCAGUUUAGUAAGGAAAAAUUAUACCAUAACAGUUCCGAGCCGAGGCAAAGCUUCGGAUCGGCGACCAAGUGGUCCCCAAGCGGUCUUGGUUUUUUGAACGAAAUCCUCGCUAACUGACGCCUCGUUCACCAAGACAUAAAAAAACGCUCGGUCCAAAUUUGAUCUUUGCUUGGAAAACCACCUAUGAUCCGGCGAUUGGGUUUGUUGGAGAUAUAAAAUCUGUCUCCCUUCGGAGCCUUUCUGAUCUCCAACAAGUUUAGCAGAUGAUCUAGCUCAAUGUCGAGCCCGCAUUCAAAACCUCGAACCAGGAUGCCGAUCAUGUGCCGCAAACCCCUCGGCAUAAUCUGCCCGAUCCAGAGGUACUCGAGGAUAACUCCGGGGAUCAGGAAUUCGUACAGAGCUCGUAGGACGCCUCAUACAGAGUAAAGUGAUUUUCAGGAGAUUUGUCAGCUCGGUCGUUCUUUUCUGGAAGGACGAAUUCCACCGCCUCGGAUAUCCCGAAACGGCAUCUCAACGCCUCGAGUGAGUCAGGGGAGGAGAGCGUGGAACCAGGAUGGUCAGGUCUUUGUCUUUUUACUCGUUUUUGUUUCCCUUGCCCAGACGAAGAAGCACCUCGGGAUGCCAUGAGACGUUCUAAUUCAAGCCUCGCCUCGACCGGAUCAAAGGGAAACGCUUCCUCCUCAGCUUUUACUGCGGCAUAAUCAACUUCUUCAUUAUAGGCAGGACCCUGGGGGCAGUUCGUCGAAACCGACGGCUCGUUAUUUGGAGAGCGAGCACCUGAUGGGUUUGAGCGAUUCGACGCCUCGUCACCUUCAGAUGAACGGUUGGAAGGGCUCGGCGAGACAGAUGCCUCGGAGGAUCCUGUUACGCCUCUCGCCUCGGCAUCUACACGGCCUGGCUCGUAGUUAAAAAACGAAUCCAACAAAUCGUCGGAAUGGUUCGACAUGAUUUACAGUUUGUACGAGAAUUACAAUACUACGCGGCGAGCUUUCGUCGGAAAAAGAUUUGGAGCGGCGGAGACCUCGGAACCCUAGCCGGAAAAUAAAUAAACUAGAGAGAGAAAGAAGAGAGAAGGGAGAGCUACCUUUAGUGAAAUCGAAGAUCUGAAAUUAUGAGAAAGAAAGAAGGGGAUCCACCUUCUUAUAGGACAAGCCGAGGCGCGUGAGUUCCGCGGGGACCUCGAGAAGCCGUCCAACAGCGCGUGGGAUCCGCGGCAUAUUAACUAGCUCUGGCUGCGUCGGUUACACGCGCCAAUAAUUUGAGAACCUUCUUUCGGAAGACCAACGGUCGGGAUGUCUGAGUCUUCAGCUGAUAUCUCGGCACAGUUGUUACAAAAACGCCUUGUCGUUACCUUGAAACACGGCUCGGCAUAUUUUUCACAAAAACGCCUCGUCGUUACCUUGAAACAUGGCUCGGCAUAUUUUUCACAAAAAACGCCUCGUCGUUAUCUUGAAACACGGAUCGGCAUAUUUUUCUCAAAAAACGCCUCGUCGUUACCUUGAAACACGGCUCGGCAUAUUUUUCACAAAAACGCCUCGUCAUUACCUUGAAACACGGCUCGGCAUAUCCUUCCCGAAAACACCUCGUCGUUUAUUCGGCUCGGCAUAGCCUACACGAAACGCCUCGACGUUCAUGCUUCGACAUCUUUUCAAAAAUACCUCGUCGUUAACGAGGCGGCUCAGCAUUAUCCUUUGCCUCGAUCGCUGUCUUUACCAAACUAAUCUCAUCUUUUGAACGGCUUGGCAUUUUCCUUCAUACAACCUCGCCAAAAACGGCUCGCUACUACACUUCAUCGAAGAACGGCUCAGCAUCUUUAUUUCCAAAACGCCUCACCUAUUGUUUCGCAACGGCCUGACUUGAUGGUUUAUCCCAUGGCCAGGAGCAAUGAACCUCGUCACUCUCGUCUCCAAAACUGACGAGCUGGGGGGCUAACUGUUGGGGUCGGUUUCCACCCCAAGCGGUUAAACAUCUCGAGAAUGACCAAGUAUCAGAGAAAAAGCGGUUGGCAAGAGAAAUCAGUAAUUCGUCAGAUAUGGGCCGAGCUCUCACAUGAGAAAGGUGGGCCGAGCCGUGCUCAACAUUACAAAUGGGCCGAGCCGUGAAGAGGGGCAAGUAGGCCGAGCCGUGGGAAGGACGUUUUAUGGGCCGAGCUGUGCAAGAGAGCGAAUGGGCCGAGCUGUGCAAGAGAGAGAAUGGGCCGAGCCACUUCGCAAUUGGGCCGAGCUGGUUCUUCUUGGAUGGGCUGAAACGAAGUCAUGAAGGACGUAAGCCCAUAAAAAACCCUAGGCGAAGUGCUGUGACGGUGGCCGCAUAAAACGAUAAGGAAAUAUUCCGGAAAUCUCUCCCGAGAUUCCCGGCUAGGCGGUUUAGAGAGUUAGUAUAAAUAGACGAUGUAUGCCGCUCAUUAUAAAACUUGACACAACUCGAGAGCAAUAAGACCUAAACACUUUUCAGCAAAAACCAUCUUUUAAUCUUACUGUUCUUGCGAUAACCCUAGAAAUUUCGGAUCCCUUAAGAUUUCCUUAACAAAUUUUUGGUUGUGCAAGUUUUAACUCACACAAGGUGUUAAAUAUAUAUAUUUAAUGAAAGGAAAGGAAACAAAAAGCCUAAUGAGUCCUAGAUUGUCGAAAUUUUUUUGAGCAAAAAGGCAACCACUAUUCAUCUAAGGAGCUAUGGUUUUGAAAGAUUAACAAAAAUCUAAGUCUGGGAGAGUUAGGAGAGAACCUGAGGAAGAAGACCAGAAAUCUAUGGCAAGAAGAAAGUGACUGAAAACUGUGGAUAUCAACAGUUUUGCUCUCUCUUGCGGUUUUGCAUAAUAUCUUGCAUCCUCUAGAUCUUUAGGUAACCCAUAAACACUUUAAGCCUUACCUCUAGAAUAACCCUUUUGAUACCUAGCCUAGAUUACCUCGCUUAUACUUUCUUUGAUGAGAACCACCAAAAUUUUUAAUGACUGUUAAGAGCUGGUAGACUGGAAGUUAGAUCUCAGUGCAAUAUAUUUCCGCAUGACGGAUUUACGGACUAGUUAUGCCCGUAUUUUUAGUGAGAAUUUUCUAGGCUAUUCCCAACUAAUGCAUAAUGAUUGAUAUUGGUCUAGAAGCUUUGUCUCUGAGAUUUUGUUAGUUCCUGCGUUUUCAAACCUCUCACCGAGAUUUGGGGAGUUGAUAACACCGGAUUUUGACUAUUUUUAUGGAUCACUUUGAUAUCUUUUGCAGGUUUUUUUACUCUAUUUUCAAAGGUUUUCAAAGGAUUUCUAUGUUUUCAGAUUUUAAAAGACUUUUCAGGUAAUUUGGGAUAAAAAGGCGCAAAUUGGAAUAAAAAGACUCUUUUGGAUAAAUGCAGAUCGUCAGAACUCUCAUGGAGAGACGAAGACCUUCUCACCGUCUGAUCACCUUCAAAAUUAGGUAACUUAUAGAAGACUCAACCAGCUUUCAAAUGCACUUGGUUUGGAUACAUUCCAAUGGUUGGAUCUCAAUAUAUUCCAUUUUUCCCGGAGACACUCGAAGACGGCCAGCAAGUCACGCGACCGCGGCCAACGACCCAUCCACCGCGGCCAGGACCACGCAACCACGGCCAAGCCUUCAUCUACCACAGUCGCAACACACGCGACCGCGGCCAGGCAUCUCCGACCUAAAAAACCCAUUUCUGAAGCCCAAGUUAUUUCCCAGUCUCAAUUCCGGAACCCUAGAGACCAUGGAGUAUUGAGACUAUAAAUACUUGUCAUUUAGGUCGUUUUUAGACAUCAUUUUCAUACUUUUACAGAAAAACCCUUUUUCUUCAACCGUUUUAUGCGAUAUUUAGAAAAGAUUGUUUAACUCUGAGUUCAUCAAUAGAGAAGCUUUCGUUCAUCUCUUUACUUUUUGUUUUUGAUUGAUUUUAUUAAAACCAAUGAUGAUGUCGAGCUCAGCCAUGUCUGAGUAGAUCCCGAGUUAGGCUUAGGGUUCCCAAAAGGGGCUCUCAUAAUCGAUUAAGACAUCUAGGUUUAUAGAUCUGGGAUUUUAACUAUGUUCUCUGUUUAUCCUCAUCCUUAAUGCAUGUAUUUUUGAUUGAUCACCUCGUAUGUGAUCUAGAUAGUUAGUGUUGCGAAAGUAUUCAUUAAGUAUCCGACCUAGAAUGAAAUAGGCAAUUUUUCCAUAAGAGUGGAAACCUACCUGCGGCAAAAUCGUGAGUACUGACGAGUCCUGUACAGCUCUUAUGUUCUCUCCCUUCCAGGGCCAGAGUGGAAACCUACUGGUCAGGGUUGCGAGAAACAGUUGGUUAUGAUCACGACGGUGACAUAGUCAUACCGCCGAACUCUAGCUCUAUAACCCUAUAUUUUGAUAUCCGUCAAUCCCAAUCUAUAAUCCCUAGUGUUGAAACCGAUUAUGAUCCCUGAAGAGUUCCCGAAAGCUCAGCGUUUUUAGCCAUAGUUUACAAACCGAUUGAUUUUUACUUGUUCUUUUAGAUCUGCAUUUUAUUUGCUUUAGUUCAAUAUUUUGCUUGUUUCAUUUGCUUUCAUUCGAUUUUCUACUUGCUUUUUAGGAUAGCUUUAUUUGCUUUCUUUAGUUUUAGUUUAAUCCGUGACAAACAACCAACCCCUAAAACAUAUCUAGUCUAGACAUAAAGUUAGAAAUCGUAGGAGAAUACCACACACACAAAUCUCUGUGGAUUCGAUCCCUAAGUACUACAAUUGAUUAGCUGUGCACUUACGGCUUUCAUUUGUUUUUAUUAAGGGUAAAACUUGUUCCCUCACGCAGUAGACACAUCAAUAUUCUGAUUCUGAAUCUUGGGGAUCACGUGCUGUGAAAACUCAAAGACUGUAAAUCAGCUGCAUCGAUCUGGUCAGGUCUUGAAAGGUUAUACAAUUCUAGUUCUCAACCUAAUCAGAUUCAUCUACAGCACGAUUUCUACACCUUCAAGAUGGAUGAAUCUAAGUUUAUGGAUAAGAAUAUAGACGAUUUCUUGAAGAUGUUUUCUGCUUUGAAUAGUGUUGAUGUUUCGGUCUCUGAAGAAGUUCAAGCUAUUCUAAUGUUGAAUUCUUUGCCUCUGCAGUACAAUAGUUUAAAUGAAACACUAAAGUACGGUAAAGAAAUUCUUUCUCUGGAAAACAUUUGUGAUUGUGCAAAGUCAAAGGAGAAGGAACUGAGAGAAGCAAAGCAACUCAAUGUUUCUCAGAAGAGCGGUGAAGCGUACACUGCUUGAGGAAGAUCCGAGAAGAGAGAGUCACAUGGUGGUAAAGGAAAGAAUAGAUCAAGGUCUCAGUCUGGUUUAAAGGUCACAUACUGGAACUGUAGAUUCCCUUCUUUCUUACAGGUCUAAGUCUGGUUCAAAUCAAUCUUUCUUUACAUGCCCUUCUUUCUUUCUUUCUUCACAGAUAUCUCGGGUGGUCAAGUUCUUCUUGCUGAUGAUAGAGCUGUCACGGUUCAAGGAGUUGGUUCCAUCAAGAUCAAGGCAACCGGAGGAUUAGUCACGCAGCUGAAAAACGUCUGAUAUGUUCCUAAUCUUAAAAGAAAUCUAAUUUCUGUUUCUACUCUUGAUUUGCAGGGUUUCACACAUGAAGGUGGUGAUGGGAAGACAAAGUUCUUCAAAAAUGGUAAAGUUGCACUGCAGGGCACCCUUACCGGAAGCUUAACGCAGGAGUCUAUACUGCUAUGUCUAAAGAUGAGACUGUGUUAUGGCAUAGCAGAUUAGGCCACAUGAAUAUGAAGAAUCUGAAGAUUUUGGUUGAGAAGGGUGUUCUUAACAAGAAGAGAAUCGGGAACAUGGAGUUCUGUGAAAUCUGCGUGGUGGGGAAGAAUAAGAAGCUGAGUUUCAGCAUUGGGAAGUACAGAGGAGGUUCUCAAAUACGUUCAUGCGGACUUAUGGGGUUCUCCUAAUGUCCAUUUUUUUUUCUCAAUGAAGCAGUAUAGAUGACUACUCUUGGAAGAUGCACCAGAGAAUCACAAGGUGAUAGGCUGUAAGUGGGUUUAUAAACUCAAGCCUGGGAUUCCUAGUGUUGAGGCUCCCAGAUAUAAGGCAAGGUUAGUUGCCAAAGGCUAUGCUCAGAGAGAGGGUAUACAUUAUCAAGAAAUCUUCUCACCGGAGGUUAAGCAUGUCUCGAUUUUUAUGAUGUUAUCAAGGACAAUGAAUGAGGAUCUAUAAUUGGAGCAGCUAGAUGCAAACACGGUGUUUCUACAUGGAAAUAUUGAAGAGGAUAUUUACAUGGAUCAACCGGAGGGAUAUGAGGUCAAAGGUCAGAAGGAAAAGGUUUGUCAUCUUCGUAAGUCUCUGUUAUGGCUUGAAACAAGCCUUGAGGUAGUGGAAUAGGUGCUUUGGUCAGUUCAUGUUGAAGCAUGGAUUUGUUAAGAGUAAAUUUGAUAUGUGCGUUUAUCUGAAGAAACUUGGAGGCAAGGUAUGUGUCUAUCUCCUUCAAUACGUAGAUGACAUGUUGAUAGCCUCUAAAGAGAUGUAUGAGAUCAUUAAGGUGAAGAAAUUUCUGAGUAGUGAGUUUGAUAUAAAAUAUUUAGAUCCUGCAAAACAAAAUCUUAGGUAUGGAUAUAGAGAGAGAUAGAAUAGGUGGAGUACUUACACUUUCUCAGUCUGGUUACAUAAAGAAGAUUCUACAAGUUUUCAGGAUGGAUGAAUCAAAGUCUGUAUCAACUCCUAUAGGAGAACAUUUCAAGCGUGCCUCAUUAGGAAAUGGAGAGGAUGAUGAAGUGAGAAGUGAAUUUCCUUAUUCAAGUGUUGUUGGCAGCAUUAUGUAUGCAAUGGGCACCAGGCCAGAUCUUGCUUAUGUUGUUGGUCUGGUAAGCAGGUUUAUGAGUAAUCCAGGAAAAGUUCAUUGGACGGCUGUACAGUGGAUUCUCAGGUAUUUUAAAAGGACUCAGGACAGAGGUUUAGUUUUCAGGAAGACUUCAGGGGAUUUCAAAGUUGAGGUUAUAGUGAUUCAGAUUUUGUUGGAGAUUUGGAUUGAAGAAGGUCGAUUUCAGGUUAUGUGUUUACUGCAGGUGGUAAUACGAUCAGCUGGAGAUCGGGAUUACAACAGGUUGUAGCAUUGUCGACUACAGAGGCUGAAUAUGUGGCCUUAACGGAGGCAGUUAAGGAGGGUAUUUGGCUGAAAGGCUUAGCAGAUUAAAUGGGUUUCAAGCAGCAGGUUGUGGCUGUGAAUUGUGAUCACAAAGUGUUAUCUGUCUAGCGAAGAAUAAUGUCUAUCACAAAAGAACAAAACACAUGGUAGUGAAAAUGAUAUAGUUGACUUGGAGAAAUAAGUGUUCAGAAGAUUCAUACUUCGAAGAAUCAUGCUGAUAUACUUACCAAGGUGAUUCUUGUUCAGAAGUUUGAGGCUACGCUUAAUGGCUUGAGGAGAUAGACUCGGAAAUGUUUGUGUCAAGGUGGAGUUUGUUGAAAUGUGACACAGUCACUUAUAUUAGUCAAAACCAGUUUUAGUUUAUGAUUUGGUACAAGCUCUAACUAGGUGAUCAUAGUAAUUUGAUUAGAACCGGUUACUGUCAUGUGUAUCAGCUUGGUUCAAUCUCUGAACCAAGGAGCUAAAUGAGUCUAUGUGUAUAAGUGAGCUGAGAGAUGAUUCUGCAGAGUUGUUGGGAAUCAUUCUUCUUCUUGCUCUGGAUCUGGUACGUUUUUGAUCUAGUGGAAUUCUUGCUAGCUUGAGAAAACAAGCCCCAGAGACGUAGCUUCGGCGAACCCUGGGUUAACAAAUCGUGUUUGUCUUUUACUUUCUUUCUAUCUUGCUUAAUCUCAUGAUUGUUCUUAUUGGAGUUCAUAGACGAAUGAGAUUAGUGAGGAAUUGAGCAGAGGGAUAGGGUUCGAUUCUUGGUUUCUAUCGCAACAUUGAUGAUUCUGAUAAAUCAGUUUCAUAAUUUGUACUUCUUUGGCUACUACAGUCAAAUACCUGUUUAUCAUGUUCUUCCAUUGAUUCUGCAAGUAAUAUUUAAGUUCAAUGAUCAUAUUUAUAUUCAGGUUUUAGUAUAAUCAUGAUUUAAUAAUUUACCUUCUGUUUUAUAGUCAUAAUUUCAGUAACUUCCUUCUUUUUGUGAUUGUAGCACCUCUUAAUGUUCAUUGACAAAUGCAGCUUGCUCUGAUCUAGAAUUUCGAGUAGGUCUUGCUGAACUUGAUGGUAAGUUUGUAAUGUCAUUAAGUACAUUGUUAGAUUGCCUUCUGAAAUCUCUAAAACCAUUUAUCUGUGUAGUGGUCAAUCCUUUAAAGCUGUUCUGUUUUGCUAUAUAAGAAAAACAUGUGAUUAAUUUUGAUUUGAAGUUUUCAUUCAGCAUUUAAAUGUGUUAGAAAAAAAGUUAUAAUUAUUUCAACAACUUACAUGAAUCUUGUUCACUCUUACGAUUCUUUUUAGGAGCUUUAUGUUGGGAUUUAUGAGACAAAGGCAUUCACUUGAUGAAUGAAACCACUUAACCCACAUUAAGAACUCGAUCUCAAUAGUGAGGAACCAAUCAACUUGUGAUGGAGAGAAUCGAUCUUAACAAGGGAAAAAUACUCUAGUUAAGUAACACAACACUUAGAGUUUGUGUACUUAGAGAAAGAAAAAUUUUGAAUCAGUAAGCUAGAGAUUAAGGAGAGAAUAAAGAAGAGUUUAUGUGAUUUUUACAAGUAUUAGGCUGCCUUAAUGCAUCCUCUAAACCGUGGCUCACUAAACUCACUACAUUAUGAUUAUUGAUUAAGCAUAAGAAGAAGAGAAAGAGCAACACGAAAUGAAGAG